Molecule: transfer RNA, 74 nt
Filed under: Metamycoplasma neophronis
Lineage: Bacteria; Bacillati; Mycoplasmatota; Mycoplasmoidales; Metamycoplasmataceae
Description: Mycoplasma neophronis tRNA-Trp
Rfam family: tRNA
About the family: Transfer RNA (tRNA) molecules are approximately 80 nucleotides in length. Their secondary structure includes four short double-helical elements and three loops (D, anti-codon, and T loops). Further hydrogen bonds mediate the characteristic L-shaped molecular structure. tRNAs have two regions of fundamental functional importance: the anti-codon, which is responsible for specific mRNA codon recognition, and the 3' end, to which the tRNAs corresponding amino acid is attached (by aminoacyl-tRNA synthetases). tRNAs cope with the degeneracy of the genetic code in two manners: having more than one tRNA (with a specific anti-codon) for a particular amino acid; and 'wobble' base-pairing, i.e. permitting non-standard base-pairing at the 3rd anti-codon position.
Source: RNAcentral
AGGGGAUUAGUUUAGUGGUAGAACUGAGGACUCCAAACCCUCAUGUGCGGGUUCGAUUCCUGCAUCCCCUGCCA